GCAUCUAGAUGAGGAGGUGAUCCAGCCGCACGCCAUAUUUGCGGAAGUAUUUGCUCGCAACUCUCGCCGGAGGUUGGUGAUGCCAAUGUUUUUCGAAUAUCCGUGGUUGUCCGGAUCUCGGGCCGCCUCGGCGAGCUUUUCGAUGACCAGGUCCGCAGGCGGGUCGCUGGGAUUGCCCAUCCCCAGGUCGAUGACGUCCUCGCCGGCCCGCCGCUUGUUGUAGAGCAUGCCGUUGAUCCGUCCGAACAGGUACGGCGGCAGCCGGGUGACCCGCUCGGCGAUCUGCACUUUGAACGGCGACGGCGAAGGCUCAGGACUGGACAUCUGCAAGUUUUACGACAGGGCUCGAUGGUAGCCUCGGGCCAACAGCCCGCCGGCGAAGCGCGCACGACUCCCCACGAUGCGGGGGCAUCAACAGACCAAGUAUACCCGCGCCGGGUUCGCUGUCCCAUUCGCUCAUGGGCGCACAAAAAGGGAGAGCCGCCUCAGCCGGCGGCUCUCCAUCAGUACGAUCGCCCACCGCUUCGGACUGGUCGCUUAAGCGACCAGUCCGUACCGGUACGCCUACCGCGUUGCCGCCGUCGGCCGCACGGCGGUAUCCGAGCGGACCGGUUGCUGGGCAUUCCCCGUCGGCUUAUCCGGCUGGUGCGAAGUGCCCGAGAGGUAAUUGUCGACGCGAGCCCGGGCGUUUAUCUCCUCGAACUUCUGGCCCAUCGCCAUCCGCAGCUUCUUUUCGUGGAUGUCGCGGUACAGCUCGUCGCGGCCGAUUCCAGGUCAAUGUCCAUCCGCUCGGUGCGGCCUUCGCACCGCAAGAUCACCCACUUGUCGGCGACCUGAGUGACGCCUGAAAUCUCACCUUCUUGAAGCUGGAAGGCCACUUUCUCAAUCUGCGGCUGGCCACUAUGCCGACCGAUCGGCGGCACUUCGCCCCGGAGCGCCUUGCUCGUCGGCUCCACCGAGUACUCGGCGGCCAGGUCGCCGAAGUAAUCCGGCGACGGGUUGCGGCGGGCCUUGUCCCAACCUCUUGAGCCCGCCGCAUGUUGCUCAGCACGAUCGCCCGGCAGCGGACCCGCUCGCCAUAGUUGGCCUCGAAGCCCUUUUGGAUGUCGGUCUCGUCGACGACGACUUCCUUCGCUGUGAGCUUUUUCAGGGCGGCGGACGGCCACACUGAGUCGCGCUCGUUUUUGGGGGGGGGGGGACCCCCCCCCCCCCCUUGGGGGGGGCACUCCACCCCAGGGGGGGGGUUUUCCCCCCCCAUUUUUUUGAAAACCCCCGCCCCAAAUUAACCCGGGGGACCUUUUUUCAGCGUCCAGAUCCUCACGGGUCACUUUCACGUUGGCAGCCUGCAGGGCCUGCUCCAGAAGUAGUCGCGAGAUCUCGGUUUCCAGCACUUCCUCACCGUGGCGUAGUAGGCACUCGUUGCCGAGUUCCUGCAUCGUGAUCCGGUCGCCGUUCACGGUGGCCACAACGCCCGGCAUCGUCUGGCUCAGUUGCGGGUCGUUGUAGAUGUUUUUGAUCGUGGCGGUCUUCUGGACAUUCGCGAAGAUGCCCGAGGCGGCCGCGCGAAGCUUUUCGUCCUUGAUCCGUUCGACGAGCCGCUGCUCGACUUGCUUGAUAUCGACCUGCUGCGGCUGGAUCUCAUCGGAUCCCGGGCCCGUCGACUGCAGAGGCCUGCAUGCAAGCUUCCUGUAUAGUGAGUC
This 1700-nucleotide ribosomal RNA is filed under the name uncultured Azospirillum sp. RNAcentral describes it as "partial 16S ribosomal RNA". Lineage: Bacteria; Pseudomonadati; Pseudomonadota; Alphaproteobacteria; Rhodospirillales; Azospirillaceae. The record is from RNAcentral.